GAUGAACGCUGGCGGCGUGUCUAAUACAUGCAAGUCGAGCGAACAGAUGAGGAGCUUGCUCCUCUGACGUUAGCGGCGGACGGGUGAGUAACACGUGGAUAACCUACCUAUAAGACUGGGAUAACUUCGGGAAACCGGAGCUAAUACCGGAUAAUAUAUUGAACCGCAUGGUUCAAUAGUGAAAGACGGUUUUGCUGUCACUUAUAGAAGGAUCCGCGCCGCAUUAGCUAGUUGGUAAGGUAACGGCUUACCAAGGCAACGAUGCGUAGCCGACCUGAGAGGGUGAUCGGCCACACUGGAACUGAGACACGGUCCAGACUCCUACGGGAGGCAGCAGUAGGGAAUCUUCCGCAAUGGGCGAAAGCCUGACGGAGCAACGCCGCGUGAGUGAUGAAGGUCUUCGGAUCGUAAAACUCUGUUAUUAGGGAAGAACAAAUGUGUAAGUAACUAUGCACGUCUUGACGGUACCUAAUCAGAAAGCCACGGCUAACUACGUG
Molecule: ribosomal RNA, 497 nt
Filed under: uncultured bacterium
Lineage: Bacteria
Description: partial 16S ribosomal RNA
Rfam family: Bacterial small subunit ribosomal RNA
Source: RNAcentral